RNAcentral lists this ribosomal RNA (380 nucleotides) under uncultured eukaryote. RNAcentral describes it as "SSU rRNA". It matches the Rfam family "Eukaryotic small subunit ribosomal RNA", at positions 587 to 972 of the family's 1831-position model. The record is from RNAcentral.
AGCUCCAAUAGCGUAUAUUAAAGUUGCUGCGGUUAAAAAGCUCGUAGUUGGAUUUCUGCCGAGGACGACCGGUCCGCCCUCUGGGUGUGUAUCUGGCUCGGCCUGGGCAUCUUCUUGGGAUCGUUCCUGCACUUGACUGUGUGGGUUCGAGACCAAGUUUUUUACUUUGAGGAAAUUAGAGUGUUCAAAGCAGGCAUACGCCUUGAAUACACUAGCAUGGAAUAAUAAGAUAGGACCUCGGUUUUAUUUUGUUGGUUUCUAGAGCUGAGGUAAUGAUUAAUAGGGAUAGUUGGGGGCAUUCGUACUUAACUGUCAGAGGUGAAAUUCUUGGAUUAGUUAAUGACGAACUACUGCGAAAGCAUUUGCCAAGGAUGUUUUCA